CGUAGCUCAUUUCCAUUUCCUCUCCACACCACCACACCUCAAGACCACAACAACAUUCUCCUCUGCCUUGUUAUCAUCGACGAGAGAGCUAGAGAGGGAGCUGCAUCCGUGCGUCCGAAAGGAAAGAAAAGAAAGGAAAUCGCGCGAGCUGCAACCUGUCCGUUCUGUCCGUAAGCUAAAGAGGAGAAAGGAGGGAGGCUACGUGAGCUUUAUCCCUUGCUGCAACCUCAACCAGCUACAAAACAACCUCAGAACCCAACACCAUCACAGCAGCAACCAACCUGCAGCCACAAGCGAGCCGAGAGCCGAG
RNAcentral lists this long non-coding RNA (310 nucleotides) under Coffea arabica (coffee). RNAcentral describes it as "long non-coding RNA (CARA_LNC005780)". Lineage: Eukaryota; Viridiplantae; Streptophyta; Magnoliopsida; Gentianales; Rubiaceae. The record is from RNAcentral.